Molecule: long non-coding RNA, 373 nt
Filed under: Brassica napus (rape)
Lineage: Eukaryota; Viridiplantae; Streptophyta; Magnoliopsida; Brassicales; Brassicaceae
Description: long non-coding RNA (BNAP_LNC021334)
Source: RNAcentral
AGCUCCCCGUCCUCAACGAGAAUCAGCGGUCCAAAUAGCACCAGACCCUGGUCUGACGUAGGGGAAACUGAUCAUCCCCCGGGUUCAGAAUACGGUUCCGACCUGAGUGGAACCCGGGAUUGCGUGAUUACUGGAGCGAUGUCCUGCCUAAGGGAAGCCUGCUGAGAAUGAGCAACUCCGGUUGACUUGAGUGCACAGGUUAUUCCCCGAGUUCGAUGACAAAAUUGAGCAAUAAGGGGCAAACUGUUAGGGAAAAAUAAUCAGGUAUCGAAUUCCUCCAGACCCUAGGCAGGACACGGGCCUCUGGAUCCCCGCUGGAAGGAACCCCGGUUAAAGGGAGCUGGACGAGUGAUCUGGGAGCUGGACGAGUUCU